UGGGGAAUAUUGCGCAAUGGGGGAAACCCUGACGCAGCAACGCCGCGUGAAGGAUGAAGGUUUUCGGAUUGUAAACUUCUUUGACGAGGGACGAAAGAAAUGACGGUACCUCGAAAACAAGCCACGGCUAACUACGUGCCAGCAGCCGCGGUAAUACGUAGGUGGCGAGCGUUGUCCGGAUUUACUGGGUGUAAAGGGCGAGUAGGCGGGAUUGCAAGUCAGAUGUGAAAUCUGUCGGCUUAACUGACAGCGUGCAUUUGAAACUGCGGUUCUUGAGUGAUGGAGAGGCAGGCGGAAUUCCUAGUGUAGCGGUGAAAUGCGUAGAUAUUAGGAGGAACACCAGUGGCGAAGGCGGCCUGCUGGACAUUAACUGACGCUGAGGCGCGAAAGCGUGGGGAGCAAACA
This 405-nucleotide ribosomal RNA is filed under the name uncultured prokaryote. RNAcentral describes it as "bacterial SSU rRNA". It matches the Rfam family "Bacterial small subunit ribosomal RNA", at positions 355 to 774 of the family's 1533-position model. The record is from RNAcentral.